This 936-nucleotide long non-coding RNA is filed under the name Gallus gallus (chicken). Its description in RNAcentral is "long non-coding RNA NONGGAT009207". The record is from RNAcentral. Lineage: Eukaryota; Metazoa; Chordata; Aves; Galliformes; Phasianidae.
ACACAGGGAAGCUUAGGAGUUUGUCCUCUCCAUAGGCUUUGUCAGAGAUGUAUUAUUGUGCUUGAUGGACUUGAACUGAUAGGGUUGCUUCUCUGUUCCUUUGGCUUAGUCAUGAACAAACAAAAACUAAUUUUGGCCACUCAGCAUUCUGUGAACCAUACAAUCCUCUGCACAUGAUACUUCUGCAAGAGUAAGCUUUAAAAACGAAACUCUUGUUCUCCGUAGGCACUAGAGAUGCAAAUUUGGUGGGACAGAAUCUGAAGGCUAUCUGUCUUCUCAGUUACCCUUUCUGCAACGUAAUAUUUCCUUUGCACUUUGAAGUGGUUGUAUUUAAGCUCAGUUGUGUACGUACAAAAUGAUCUCUGACGAUGAAAGGUAAUAUGAAACGAAAGAAAGACUUUGCAACAUGAAAGGCAUGAAAGAGGAAGAGAAGUAAAGGAGAUGCACUGUUGUUCACCAUUAAUCAUUUCAGCUGGCUACACCUACGUUAAAAAUGCAUGUGCAUGUAUUUACACAACACACAAACAUGCAACGAUGCAAACAGUACACUGCAUGUUUGUUAUGUACAUUGAGUGCAUGUGCGGCUACAACAGAAGUAAAUGAGAAUGAUGCUGAAACAUGAGGUGUAAGCUAAAGGGAACGUUUGAACGGCUGGAUGUUCAGCGAUGUAUGGAGCUGACAUUUGCAAAUCUAAGUUAUAUAUUCUGUUUUCAUUUCUCGACCCUGUCAGCUAAGCAAUCCUUCCACGAGACAGGAAGAAGGAAGAAGGGACAUAAUCCUGAGAGAGCCGAAUGAAUAUAUAUGUUUGCAAUUUCCCUUGAAAUCUGCACAGAAAAUAGGAGUCAACCAUAAAUUCAAAUAAAUCACUGCAAAGACUCACUGACAGUUGCAAGCUGCUUCACCGUACAUAUUCAUUCGUGGCCCUGAGCCAAGCAG